RNAcentral lists this small RNA (99 nucleotides) under Salmonella enterica subsp. enterica serovar Heidelberg. RNAcentral describes it as "Hfq binding sRNA". It matches the Rfam family "STnc490 Hfq binding RNA", at positions 26 to 124 of the family's 124-position model. The record is from RNAcentral. Lineage: Bacteria; Pseudomonadati; Pseudomonadota; Gammaproteobacteria; Enterobacterales; Enterobacteriaceae.
GGAAAGCUUUCAGCUUUAAGCCAGUUAUUAAAACCCCUUUUGAUUUGUUAAAACAUCUUGCGGUCUGGCAACUGCAAAAGUUCAACAAGAAAUCAAAAG